GAUGAACGCUGGCGGCGUGCCUAAUACAUGCAAGUCGAGCGAAUGGAUUAAGAGCUUGCUCUUAUGAAGUUAGCGGCGGACGGGUGAGUAACACGUGAGUAACCUGCCCAUAAGACUGGGAUAACUCCGGGAAACCGGGGCGAAUACCGGAUAACAUUCUGAACCGCAUGGUUCGAAAUUGAAAGGCGGCUUCGGCUGUCACUUAUGGAGGGACCCGCGUCGCAAUAGCUAGUGGGUGAGGUAACGGCUCGCCAAGGCAACGAUGCGUAGCCGACCUGAGAGGGUGAUCGGCCACACUGGGACUGAGACACGGCCCAGACUCCUACGGGAGGCAGAAGUAGGGAAUCUUCCGCAAUGGACGAAAGUCUGACGGAGCAACGCCGCGUGAGUGAUGAAGGCUUUCGGGUCGUAAAACUCUGUUGUUAGGGAAGAACAAGUGCUAGUUGAAUAAGCUGGCACCUUGACGGUACCUAACCAGAAAGCCACGGCUAACUACGUGCCAGCCGCCGCCGUAA
Molecule: ribosomal RNA, 515 nt
Filed under: uncultured bacterium
Lineage: Bacteria
Description: partial 16S ribosomal RNA
Rfam family: Bacterial small subunit ribosomal RNA
Source: RNAcentral